Molecule: ribosomal RNA, 499 nt
Filed under: uncultured Glomus
Lineage: Eukaryota; Fungi; Glomeromycota; Glomeromycetes; Glomerales; Glomeraceae
Description: SSU rRNA
Rfam family: Eukaryotic small subunit ribosomal RNA
Source: RNAcentral
CCAAUAGCGUAUAUUAAAGUUGUUGCAGUUAAAAAGCUCGUAGUUGAAUUUCGAGAUCAAAUUGUUGGUCGUGCCUCGGUACGUACUGGCAUUAUUGAUUUCUCCCUUCUGAAGAACCUUGAUGUCAUUAAUUUGGUGUCUUGGGGAAUCAGGACCGUUACUUUGAAAAAAUUAGAGUGUUUAAAGCAGGCUCUCGCUUGAAUACAUUAGCAUGGAAUAAUGAAAUAGGACGUUUGAUUCUAUUUUGUUGGUUUCUAGGAUCGACGUAAUGAUUAAUAGGGAUAGUUGGGGGCAUUAGUAUUCAAUUGUCAGAGGUGAAAUUCUUGGAUUUAUUGAAGACUAACUACUGCGAAAGCAUUUGCCAAGGAUGUUUUCAUUAAUCAAGAACGAAAGUUAGGGGAUCGAAGACGAUCAGAUACCGUCGUAGUCUUAACCAUAAACUAUGCCGACUAGGGAUCGGAUGAUGUUAAUUUUUUAAUGACUCAUUCGGCGCCUUACG